CCGAGUGAGGGCCCUCUGGGUCCAACCUCCCACCCGUGUUUACCGUACCCUGUUGCUUCGGCGGGCCCGCCCUCAGCGGCCGCCGGGAUGGCCCCUUGCGCCUCCGGGCCCGCGCCCGCCGAAGACACCUUGAACUCUGUAUGAAAAUUGCAGUCUGAGUCUAAAUAUAAAUUAUUUA
RNAcentral lists this unclassified non-coding RNA (178 nucleotides) under uncultured Eurotiales. RNAcentral describes it as "sequence contains ITS1". The record is from RNAcentral. Lineage: Eukaryota; Fungi; Ascomycota; Eurotiomycetes; Eurotiales.